UUUUGGUGAGGUGCCUUCCGAGUUCCCUGGAACGGGACGCCACAGAGGGUGAGAGCCCCGUCUGGUUGGACACCGAGCCUCUGUAAAGCUCCUUCGACGAGUCGAGUAGUUUGGGAAUGCUGCUCUAAAUGGGAGGUAUAUGUCUUCUAAAGCUAAAUACCGGCCAGAGACCGAUAGCGCACAAGUAGAGUGAUCGAAAGAUGAAAAGAACUUUGAAAAGAGAGUUAAACAGUACGUGAAAUUGUUGAAAGGGAAGCGCUUGUGACCAGACUUGGGCUUGGUUGAUCAUCCGGGGUUCUCCCCGGUGCACUCUUCCGGCUCAGGCCAGCAUCAGUUCGCCCUGGGGGAUAAAGGCAGCGGGAAUGUGGCUCUCUCCGGGGAGUGUUAUAGCCCGCUGCGUAAUACCCUGUGGCGGACUGAGG
Molecule: ribosomal RNA, 422 nt
Filed under: Fusarium solani-melongenae
Lineage: Eukaryota; Fungi; Ascomycota; Sordariomycetes; Hypocreales; Nectriaceae
Description: partial large subunit ribosomal RNA
Rfam family: Eukaryotic large subunit ribosomal RNA
Source: RNAcentral